RNAcentral lists this transfer RNA (76 nucleotides) under Thermoanaerobacteraceae bacterium. RNAcentral describes it as "tRNA-Thr". It matches the Rfam family "tRNA". From Rfam's summary of the family: Transfer RNA (tRNA) molecules are approximately 80 nucleotides in length. Their secondary structure includes four short double-helical elements and three loops (D, anti-codon, and T loops). Lineage: Bacteria; Bacillati; Bacillota; Clostridia; Thermoanaerobacterales; Thermoanaerobacteraceae. RNAcentral also lists the same sequence under 1 other name. The record is from RNAcentral.
GCUGAUGUAGCUCAGCCGGCAGAGCAGCUGAUUCGUAAUCAGCAGGUCGAGGGUUCAAAUCCCUCCAUCAGCUCCA